UUUCCGUAGGUGAACCUGCGGAAGGAUCAUUAUUGUAUAACCGAGGUGCGAGGGCUGUCGCUGACCCGAAAGGUCGUGCACGCCCGAGUGCCCUCACACACAUGCAUCUCACCCCUAUGUGCACCACCGCGUGGGUCCCCCUUUGGCUUGUUCGGAGGGGGGCUUACGUUUACACACAAACUUUGUAUGCAGUGUAGAAUGUAUUUUUUGUUUUUGCGAUCACGCAAUCAAUACAACUUUCAACAACGGAUCUCUUGGCUCUC
RNAcentral lists this unclassified non-coding RNA (263 nucleotides) under plant metagenome. RNAcentral's name for it is "partial contains small subunit ribosomal RNA, internal transcribed spacer 1, and 5.8S ribosomal RNA". The record is from RNAcentral.